GAAGAAAGAGGGAGGCGUGCUUAACACAUGCAAGUCGAACGGAAAGGCCCCUUUGGGGGUACUCGAGUGGCGAACGGGUGAGUAACACGUGAGUAACCUGCCCUUGACUUCGGGAUAACUUCAGGAAACUGGGGCUAAUACCGGAUAGGAAUCCUUGCUGCAUGGUGGGGGUUGGAAAGCUUCGGCGGUUUUGGAUGGACUCGCGGCUUAUCAGCUUGUUGGUGGGGUAGUGGCUUACCAAGGCUUUGACGGGUAGCCGGCCUGAGAGGGCGACCGGCCACAUUGGGACUGAGAUACGGCCCAGACUCCUACGGGAGGCAGCAGUGGGGAAUAUUGCACAAUGGGCGGAAGCCUGAUGCAGCAACGCCGCGUGCGGGAUGACGGCCUUCGGGUUGUAAACCGCUUUCAGCAGGGGCGAAGCUUGUGGUGACGGUACCUGCAGAAGAAGCACCGGCUAACUACGUG
RNAcentral lists this ribosomal RNA (465 nucleotides) under uncultured bacterium. RNAcentral's name for it is "partial 16S ribosomal RNA". It matches the Rfam family "Bacterial small subunit ribosomal RNA", at positions 38 to 507 of the family's 1533-position model. The record is from RNAcentral.